CUUGAACGCUGGCGGCAGGCUUAACACAUGCAAGUCGAGCGGAGAGAGGUAGCUUGCUACUGAUCUUAGCGGCGGACGGGUGUGUAAUGCUUAUGAAUCUGCCUAUUAGUGGGGGACAACAUUUCGAAAGGAAUGCUAAUACCGCAUACGUCCUACGGGAGAAAGCAGGAGAUACUCGGACCUUGCCCUAAUAGAUGUGCCUAAGUCGGAUAAGCUAGUUGGUGGGGUAAAGGCCUACCAAGACGACGAUCUGUAGCGGGUCUGAGAGGAUGGUACGCCACACUGGGACUGAGACACGGCCCAGACUCCGACGGGAGGCAGCAGUGGGGAAUAUUGGACAAUGGGGGGAACCCUGAUCCAGCCAUGCCGCGUGUGUGAAGAAGGCCUUAUGGUUGUAAAGCACUUUAAGCGAGGAGGAGGCUACUCUAGUUAAUACCUAGGGAUAGUGGACGUUACUCGCAGAAUAAGCACCGGCUAACUCUGUGCCAGCCGCCGCGGUAA
RNAcentral lists this ribosomal RNA (501 nucleotides) under uncultured bacterium. Its description in RNAcentral is "partial 16S ribosomal RNA". It matches the Rfam family "Bacterial small subunit ribosomal RNA", at positions 30 to 523 of the family's 1533-position model. The record is from RNAcentral.